AUGAGCUGCACAGGGUAGCUAUCACCUGUCGAUGAAGAACAAUGCACACAGGUUCAGACAAUGAGCAAAGAAUCACACCGAACAUGUGCCAACACGCCUCUGCCUCUGCUUUUGCACCACAGCGCUACACGGAGCCGGAACAUCUGCCCGAACAGAAGCCUCAGCUGGGCAGAAACAUGCAAUGCGUACGUGGAACUUUUGUGCACAGAUGGCUCGAAGGCAAAUCAUUGAGAAUGGGGAAGGUCUGCUCUUUUAAUUUUUCAGGGUAAAAUUCUACUCAUAGUUAGAUAAAAUAAUAGCAGUAUAAAAAGCUUCUCGUCAAUCUGUUUUAAUUAAUGUAAGGUCUGUUACUGAAGUCUUCUUAUUGACAAGGUUCUGUGUGAAAGAUUACCCGCCCAUGUGAUAAUGGUCAGUACUUUAGCUGAUCAGGAUAAAUACUACAGAUCUCAAACAAUCUUUCAUAUAAUGAACACUACGGGGACUUUUUGCUAAAAAGACAUAAGGUAUCAGUAACAGAAAGCUUUAAUGAUUAGUUUUAAGGGUCGAAAUAGCACCAUUCUUGGAUCGAAAUCCAAAACUGUAGUCCAGAUUUUGCUGGAAAUGUUGGCAAAUCCACAACAAACUAUCCACAUUCCUCAGCAUAAAUUCUGGUGAGCUCUGGGAUUCCUAUGUAGUCGCACAUUAGCUCCGCUUCCUUGCUGAGUUUCACUACACAAUUCCCAGCCACGAUCACCAUUGGAUUUCACAAACUCCAGCAGCUGAUCAAUGUUUUCAUUAGAUUCCUUGCCAUUUGAAUUGGGAUAUCUACUCUUCAGAUUCAUUGCUGUAUAGGGUCUAAUGCUGGGUCCAUGGCUGAUUUCAAUGGGAACCCUAAACCUGUGGAGAAGCCAGUGAAUAUACUUUCCAGAUGCUAGCACCUGUAGUCUGGAUUAAAUGGACGGUGAAAGCCAAAAAAAGGAAGUGCACGAGGAAGGAUGACAAUGCCCACCAAUGAGGGAAAACUUCUGAUCUUCCUUACAGUACAUGAACAGGAAUGGUUACUGAAUUGCGGAUAUAUACGUUUUGUAACCCAACAGGAGGUGAAAGUGAGACUCUACUCAAAAGCUAUUUGCUAGCCAAUGCCUGAAGCUCGUUAUGCUGAAGGGUGGGUGCAAUAGAUUGUUUAUUGACCACAUAAAAUAUUCAAAGAUCAGUGGCAUAUGAGGCUUCUCAAAGUCCAACCCCACGUCCCCUUCGUGAGAGGUAGAAAUAGGUAAGGCUGGCCAACAGGGCUCUGGUGAAGCUUUACAGGCCAAUCACCCGUACAGUAGAUAUAAGUGGAUUACAGAGACAUUAAUGAACUCCAACCAGACCAUCGACUUUGGAUGAUAGAGAUGGGAGAUCAUCAAUGGCCAAUGCUCCACUGGGAGCGAAGGGCCCAAGAAGAAGAAGAAGAAGAAGAAGAAGAGUGUCCUAUGAGACACCAAAGGCCCAUACUUAUCAACAGGAUUAGCUGCUCAGAGGGAGCAAAGUGUUCCUGUUUAAUGUAUUAAUAUUUUGUGUCAUUGUGACCUCAGGUCAAUAGAGUUCUUCCGAUUUUAAACCCUCGUGACCGGAUGGCCUGAAUCACCAUUUUUUGAAGGUUGAAUUAGAUAGGACAUUUAUCUUAUAUCACCAAAGAAAACCAAACAUUGGAGUAUUUAAAAGUCAUUAAGUAAAAGAACCUAAAUAAUACAUAUUAGGUUUACAUUCAGUUUAUUUUCUUCAUACUCCACACCAGAGACCACGUCAAUGAAUAAGCAAGCUUUUACCUUCUGGACGCAGGACGCAUGUGCAAAAGCCAGAACGGUAGUGAGCUGGAAACCCAGUCACCAGUUACGCCUGGUACUAAUUAUAGCAUUAAUCUUAUAUUUCUUUUCUACCAUUCAUGUCCCUUUUUCCUACACCAUUAUUUCUACUGUAAUUUAACCCCUUCCUCCCUCCACCUGCACUGGUUUUAGUUUUAGGCUUUUCCUUCACCUCUUUGUUGCAUUCUCCCACCCCACUUUUGUCAACAAUUAUUGCACCCCAGUCCACCCAACCAAACUGCGGAGUUGCUCCCACCUUUCCUGCUCUGCACUUGUUUGAAACCUGCUAAUCAUUAAUAACCUGGUGAGUACUCCUAGCAUAUUGUGCUUUUAUUUCAGGUUCUCAGCACAUGCAUUUUGCUUGAUGGACACCUCAUGAGUCUUCUCAAAGAAUUUGGAAGAUAGUUGAUCAAGUAAUUCAUCAAGACCACACAACUGAGGCAGAAUUAUUAAAAUAUUCACAGGAACCAGAAGAUCUAUGUCCAGGGCUAUUUGAUCUUUUACACUGGGCAGAGUUGUGCAGGAUCGGAGGCCCACCUUCACUUCCCACUUCUGUCUCUCCAUGCAUCAGUGCUAGACUGCAUGGGAUGUACAAGGAAGUUCUUGCUGAUACCGUGAACUAACUGGAGGGGGAUUUAAGUUUGAUUAAGGAAGUUUGAAGUAAUUUACCAUGAGCUUGAUGGUUGCAUCACGGCCUGCUAUGGAAACACUAAAGCUCUCGAAUGGAAAAGCCUGGAAGAGGUAGUGGAUAUGGCCUAGUCCAUCACAGGUAAAGACCUCCCUACAUGGAGUGUUGUUGCAGGAAAGCAACAUCCAUCAUCAAUGAGUUCCACCUUACAGACCAUGCUCUCUUCUCUCUGCUGCCAUCAGGAAGGGACAGGAGCACCAGGACCCAUGCCACCAGAUUCAGGAACAGUUAUUACCCCUCAACCAUCAGGCUCUUGUACCAGAGUGGAUAACUUCAGUCUACUUCACUUACCCCAUUACUGAACUGUUCCCACAACCUAUGGACUCACUUUCAAGAACUCUUCAUCUCCUGUUCUUGAUAUUUGUUGUUUAUUUAUUAUUAUUAUUAUUUAUUUCUCUUUUUAUAGUUGCAGUUUGUUGUCUCUUGCACAUUGAUUGUUUGCCCAUUCUGUUGGGGGCGGUCUAUCAUUGAUUCUAUUGUGUUUUUUGUAUUUACUGUAGAACAGCUUCAAGAGAAUAAAUCACAAGGUUGUAUAUGAUAACAUAUAUGUUCGUUGAUAAUAUAUUUACUUUGAACUUGAAGUUUUGAACUUUGAAACUGUGUCUGAGGCACUUGUGCUGUUUUAGACUCUCUUCUUAUGGAAGGACGUGUGCACCUUGGUGGUGAUCAGAUUUACAAAGUUGACUGCCAGGAUGACAAAAUUGCCUUGCAAAGAGGGCCUGAGUAAAGUUGACCUGCAUUUAUCAGCGAUUAGAAGAACGGGAGGCAAUCUCAUCGAAACUGAAGAUUCUGAGUCAUAUUGAUAAUAUAAACACUAAAAAGAAACAUUUCCCUAUGGCUUGAUUUCGGAGAUAAGAUGUAAACUCUGGGCAAGGAGUCAAUCAUGUGGGACUGAAGCAAGCAGAAGUCAAAUAAAAUGUUUGGGUGAUAUUCAAGACCCUUUAAUUCUUAUUUUUUUAAGCAAAUUUUCAUGAACAGCAUGGGAAACCUCCAAAGAAAUUCAUUUUUGUUCACUAUACUGUGAGGAAACUGGCCACUGAUUGCCCAGAGUUUUGUAAGUUCAUUCUACUUCAAUGAGUAGAAUCACUGGCCAAUGUUCCUUCACACUUUUAGUGUCAGAGAUCAAAGAUAAUUCCUCUUCUCCUAAAUCUCUUGAAUAACCUCUACCUCUCCCAGUAAAACAGUCAUGAUCUCACUCAUAUCAGCAGGGUUUCAGUUUCAUACUUGGAAUAACGCACUUAACCUGCUGCAUAGGGAAUACAGGAUAAAAUAGAAAUGUGGAAACUUAUGGAGCAAUCCUGGAUCAGUAUCUGGGCCAAAAACAUGAAUAAAGUUUCCUAUUUCCACACUCUUCGCAGAUAAUUUUCAUGUUGUGUAACAUAAGCAAACAAUUCAAGGAAUGAUCUCCAUUUUCUAGACCUCAUUGUAUCCAUCUCCAGAGUCAAACACAUCACUGUUAUUUACUGAAAACUUACCAACUCCCACAGCAACUUAGACCAUAACAAUUUCCACCCUAUCCCUUGCAAGGACGCCAUUCCUUUUUCAUAGUUUGGCUUUGCCACAACUGCUCUCAGGAUGAGGCUUUCUGUUCUAGAGCAUCUGAAAUAUAUUCCUUUUUGAGGAAAUGUGUCUUCCUUUCUGCUGUGGUUAAUGGAGAUUGAUCUCACAUCUCCUCUAUUUCUUAUACUUUUGCUCUUGCACCUCCUCCUCCCAGACAGAGCAGAUAUACAGCUCCUCUGGUCCUUUAAGCCUCCACACCUAUCAUACCAUCCUUCAUCAUUUCUGCCAGCUGCAACAUGAUCCCAGCACCGUCCACGCCUUCUCCUCCCCACCUUCCAGAAGGACCACUCCCUUCGUGACCCCUUCGUCUGCUUAUCCCCUCCCUCACCCCAGGCAUUUUCCAUUGUGCUCCUCCCUCAGCACCAUCCAAGGGGCUAAGGAGUCCAACAGGUAGUGCAAAGGCUAACAUACACCUCCUCCAAUCAUGGCUACUGCAUUCGAUGCUCCCCUUGUGGCCUACUCUACAUCAGCCAGACCAAGUGCAAACUCAGCGAUCAUUUUGCAGACCACUUAUGCUCAGUCCUUAAUGGCCAUCCUGAGCUCCCAGAUGAUGACUUUUAUAACUCCUCUCCCCAUUCCCAUACUAAUCUGUCCAUCUUUCCCCUUCUACUGCCAGGAUGAAGCCAAAUGCAAAACAGAGCAGCAACACUUUGUAUUCCAAUUGGGUUGACUAGAACGCAAUGGCAUGAGUAUUGAGUUUUCCAGUUUUAGGUAAACUCUUCUUUUUCUUUUUAUCUCCCUCCCAUCCUCUUUCACCUCCUUUCACCCUUGAUCCUUGAAUGUCCUUUUUUGUCCCCUCCUAUUUCUAUACACUAACUUCAAAAACACCCAACACCCCCUGCCCCCCCACCAGUUUGGUGGUUCCAAAUGUUAUUCAUUUCCCUCUUUUCUAAUGACUUCCAUUCUCCCCUACUCCGUUCAGAAUAAUCCAGAUGCUCCAGCUCAUCUCCCGCCAGGAGCUGUCUCCUGCCUUCAUGCUCCCCACCACCCCUAUCUUGCUCCAUCUGUUGUUUCGUCUUCUUCCUCUCUCUGAUUUUAUGUAUCAUACACCUGUUACUGUCUUCCAACUCCACUUGCAUAUUAUUUUACACCCCUCCUCAGUCCAUUUUGGAAUCCUUUCUCCUCUUCCUCUAUGCUGGCCACCUUGCCUCUCGAUUUUCAGUCAUAGUGCAAGGUUUUGACUCAAAACGUCGACAAUUUUGUUCUGCUCUCCAGUGCUGCUCAUCCCACUAAGUCACUCCAGCAGUCUGCAUGUUGCUAUAGGAUUGAUAUCCCAUGCAAAAUUUCUGGCUCUCAGUUAUUCAGCAAACUCUAUAAUUAACUAAGAAAAUGGGGGAAGAUGUAUCUUCCGGAUUAUGCCAGAUAAUGAAGGUCUCAUCUCAAAUUCAGUUCAAAAGUUCCAGUUCUCAAAUCAUCUUUCAACAUUUGCCACAAGGAUAUUUUAUUCAUUAUGAGAUUAAGUUAAUCAAUAAGGACCUUCCAUUAUUGUGCAGCUUCCUGUAUUUAUGAGGUUGAUAAUACUCCAAUUUCCUCAAGGCAUAGUUUAUGGAAAUUCAAGAUUUUUUGGUUGAAUACAUAUAACAACAUUUCUAUUUGGUGCAGAAUUGCUUUAACUUAGUAGUUGUUUUGAUGAAAAUUAUGGGCACACACAAAAUAGCACGUUCUUGUUUAACAGAUAAGGGUCCAUUAAUCCCAUCCUGCUCUGUGUAAAUUAGUUGAGGAAUUGGAGAGACGGACAAUUAAACUAAUCUACACUCAGUGACUACUUUACUAGGUACCUCCUGUACCUAAUAAAGUGGCCACUGAGUGUAUGCUUGUUGUCUUCUGCUGCUGUAGCCCAUCCACUUCAAGGUUCAACAUUUAGUGCAUUCUGAGAUGCUCUUCUGCACACCUUUGUUGUAACGUGUGGUUAUUUGAGUUACUAUUGCCUUUCUGUCAGCUUGAACCAGACAGGCCGUUCUCCUCUGACUUCUCUCAUUAACAAGCCAUUUAUGCCCUCAGAACCAGAACUGAUGGGUGCCUUUUUUUUUAACCAUUUUCUGUAAACCCUAGUGUCUAUAGUGUGUGAAAAUCAGUUUCUCAAGUUGAUCAGCAGUUUCUCAAAUCACCCCACUUGACAUGAACAAUCAUUCCAUGGUCAAAGUCACUUACAUCACAUUUCUUCCCAAUUCUGAUUGUCUGAACAACAACUGUAUCUUUUGACUGAGUCUACAUGCUUUGCUGCAUUGAGUUGCUGCUACAUGAUUGGCUGAUUAAAUACUUGCAUCAAUGAAGAGAUGUAUUUAAUAAAGUAGCAACUGAGUAUGAUUAUGCAUCCAAUUUUCAGUUGACAAUCACAGAGCCUUUUUAUAGAUGUUUUUGUGGCCAGAAAGUGUAUUUAUUUGAACUGUGAAGGAGGGGAACAACUUAUUUUCUUCGUUAGUUUGUCAGAAAUAAGAUGUCACUGGGAAAAACCACAUUUAUUGUCUACCCAAAAUGAACUAUGUGGUUUUCUAGGCCUUUUCAGGGGCAACUAGAAGCCCAUCAGAUUGGUCAGUCUGGAAUCCUAAGUAUGUCAGAUUUUCU
Long non-coding RNA from Hypanus sabinus (Atlantic stingray), 6639 nucleotides. RefSeq lists it as uncharacterized. NCBI's taxonomy places the organism in Eukaryota, Metazoa, Chordata, Chondrichthyes, Myliobatiformes, Dasyatidae. The record is from RefSeq and is a predicted model, not a curated record. The transcript is spliced from 3 exons.